Molecule: long non-coding RNA, 1004 nt
Organism: Oreochromis niloticus (Nile tilapia)
Lineage: Eukaryota; Metazoa; Chordata; Actinopteri; Cichliformes; Cichlidae
Exons: 4
Source: RefSeq, a predicted model, not a curated record
AGUGGGAUCCCUUUUGCACGCGUGAGGCUCAUUUUUUGUCUUCACACACACAAAUACACACAAACACACACACACAGACACUGCAAAGUUUCUCAUGAUCUGAGUUGUCACAAUCAACAUGCUGAUUUUUCAUCAGUGUGGCUUUGUGCUUGCGUGUGAGUGUUUAUCGUGUCAACAUUAAUGCUGUUAAGGUUGAGGUAUUUCCUGUGUGUGCACAACAGAAUAUAUUUUAAUUCCUGCUAUCAGUCGUUUGCAGAAUAUCAGCAAAGGACGCAUAUAUGUUUGGCUGACUAAUGAUUUUCUUUUAUCUUACUGAUAUCGGUUCUUUAUCUCAGUGAUAUCGGUUAUCAUUACAUACUGAAACAGGUGACUAAUCAGGCACAUUUCGCUGCAUGGUGUGCUGCCGCAAAGAUGAGGAGCCACGAGUUUAGUUGGGUGGUUUCUCAUGUGCUCCUGUUGCCCUUUAAUCAAAGGUGGGCGCGCAAAGGUCAAGGUGAAGGGAUAUUUCACUUGCUUUUAGCACCUAUUUCAAUAUUGCGGAGUGACGGUAAACAGGGGGUGUAUGACAGGAAGUCAUGAGUCACAGCUUCAAACCCGUGGAUUUUCUCUUCUGCAGCAUGCUGAGUUAUUUAGGUUGCAUCCUCUCACUAACUGCUGUCUAGAUCACCGGAAAAACGUGAAUAACAGCAGGAAUGCAAACUUCAAAGAAGACAGAAUCGCAAGUAAGCAACAAUACCAAAAAAAAUAACUUCCUUGGUGGAGCUGGACUCUGCCUCAACUCUAGUGAGUGCAGUGGGCAGUGGACACUGGAGAGGAGAGUCAAUCAAUCAAUCAAUAACACAUACCUUCCCUUGAUUUUCCCCGUCCUGGAGUUCUUGGAGAGACUGCCUGAGCUGAGUCAGUGUGGAUCCCCUGUUCCCCCUUUGUGCUACCUGUAUAUAUCACCCUGGUGUUUCACUGUAAAUAAAUUCACUAAACUUGAUUCCUCUGAGUCCUGCCAUUGA